This 56-nucleotide non-coding RNA is filed under the name unclassified sequences. The record is from RNAcentral.
GCAGAGGGGCAGGAAUGAAAGUUCCUGCUAAUGCACAAUUCCAGUCCCAAGUCUGG